Molecule: ribosomal RNA, 516 nt
Filed under: uncultured bacterium
Lineage: Bacteria
Description: partial 16S ribosomal RNA
Rfam family: Bacterial small subunit ribosomal RNA
Source: RNAcentral
GACGAACGCUGGCGGCGUGCCUAAUACAUGCAAGUCGAACGCAUUGAGAGAAGUGCUUGCACUUUUCAAUUUGAGUGGCGAACGGGUGAGUAACACGUGGGCAACCUACCUGAUAGCGGGGGAUAACGGGUGGAAACAUUCGCUAAUACCGCAUAACAAGAGAGAAGGAAUCUUCUUUAUUUAAAAGGCUCUUUCAAGCGUCACUGCCAGAUGGGCCCGCGGUGCAUUAGUUAGUUGGUGGGGUGAAGGCCUACCAAGACGAUGAUGCAUAGCCGAGUUGAGAGCAUGAUCGGCCACAUUGGGACUGAGACACGGCCCAAACUCCUACGGGAGGCUGCAGUAGGGAAUCUUCCACAAUGGACGAAAGUCUGAUGGAGCAACGCCGCGUGCGUGAUGAAGGCUUUCGGGUCGUAAAGCACUGUUGUAUGGGAAGAAAUGCUAGGCUAGGAAAUGAGCUUAGUUUGACGGUACCAUACCAGAAAGGGACGGCUAAAUACGUGCCAGCAGCCGCGGUAA